AUGGGUCAGGACCUCUUCUGAAAUGGGAGUUUAAGACCUACAAUCAGACAAGAGGUGGGUGCUAUGCAAGUGGAGCUGGUGACUGAUGGCUGACCAUUGAUACAGGCUAGGAAUACCAAUGAGCAAGGGGACUCAGAGUCAGAGACUUGGUUCGAGAGGAGCAGACAUCAUUGGCAGAGGACGGAGCUCCAGGCUCUGCAAGGAAUCAAGGGAAGCGCCAGGCGUGGGGGCCGGAUGUGACCUCCAUUGGCUUCCGCCUCUGGGGGCUGAGAGAAGCGAAAGCGUCUUUCUGAGGGGUGUCUUGAGAGUGGCAGAGGGCAGCGGGUCCAGGCUCCGUGAGGAGGCAAGCCUUGGGAAUCUGAGGGAUGGAGACUCAGUUCCGCAGAAAGGGUCUCGGGUGCAGCCCUGCCAACAUCAAGAGGAAGAAGAAGAGGGAGGACUCAGGAGACCUUGGACUCCAGGUCAGUAGGGACCUUGGUCCUUGGAGUUCCAAGGCACAGUGGCCACAUGUGGUGCAUCCUCACUCUGCCUUUGGGGUGUCAGAGAGGAGUGGAUUGUGGUCUGAGGAGUCGAGCCUCAGGUCAACCCAGGGAGGAGUCCCAGAGCAUUGAGGGAGGACUCAGGCAACCAAUUAUCCCUGAGGUAGAAAACCUGCCCCUGCCAUCAGUCCUUGGAGGCCCCAGGCAGGACUCUAGGAAAGAGAGGCAGCUCCCCACUUCCUAGUUGGGGUUCUCUGGGAGAUGGUGGUCUUGGCCUGCAAAAGCCAUCCACAGUUCAGCAGGAGAGACAUGGAUAGGCUUUCUCAGGAGUAAAUCGGAAUACCUGGAGGAAACCCAGAGAGAGGAGGCACCCCUGAAAUCUGCUUCAUCUGUCAGCCUUUGGCAUCCCAUGAGGGGUGUCCGUGUAGUGCCCCUUCACUUUCUGCCUCCCAUAUAUCAGAGAGGUGGGGCCCUUGGUCUGAGGCAAGUCCUCAGGUCAGCAGAGGGAUACACACCUGGUCAGCACAGGGUGGAGUCCAGGAUCUGCCAGUAGUCAAGGAGAGGAAAAUUGACGAAGACUGAAGGUAAGAAUGUACCCUCCCACAUGCCAAAGAAAAAGGGACCUCACAAAUCCCUGCUUCCUCUGUUUUCAUCCCUGGGAGGCCCCAGGUAGGGGAGGCAUAUACCAUGCUCACAUUUCUGCCACGAGGUUGGGGGUGGCACCUUGCUCAGGGAGGUGAGCACCUUCUUUCAAGGGGGUGAUGACAGGUCAGCAGGUGGAGCCACACCUGAUCAGCAGAGGGAGGAGUCCCAGGAUCUUUAGGACUCAAGGUGUGUGUGUCCCCUUUGUGAGGACUGGAGAUACCCCCAUCCCAUAAUGAAGGGAUCCCACAGAGUCUCUCUGUCCCCUGUCCUUGUCUCUUUGGAGACCUGAUCAUGGGUGGCUCUAAGUGGCAAGGUCACUUGUACCACAGGGAGGAAGUUGGGGAAUCUUCAGGGAGAUGAGGUCUUGGUGUAAAGGGAUAUGUCUGCUCAUCUCAGGGGUUGGGAGUUGAGGAAGGACAGGCCCUGGCAGAAGUAAAGAUGAAAAACCCACAGGAGGACUUUGGAAUCCCCAGAACCGAAGGGUCCAGCCUCUGCUGUCAGCCCUGGACAACCACAUGAUGGGGUGAUGGGACGUGGGGCCCCUUACUUCUGUUUUGGAAUCUUGGGCAGGUGAGCACUAUGUUCUCAGAAGACGACUUCCAGUCAACAGAAAGAGCCCCAUAUGGUCCACAAAUACAGUGGUCCCAGGAUCGGCCAAGAGUCCGGAUUUUUAGAGAACAGGCCAACCAGGAGGACAGGAGUCCCAGGAGAACCCAGAGGAUCCCUGGAGGAGAACAAGUGUAAGUAGGCCUUUGUUAGAUUCUCCAUGGUUCAUAUCUCAUCUGAGUCUGCUCUCACGCUCCCUCUCUCCCCAGGCUGUGGGGCCCCAUCACCCAGAUAUUUCCCACAGUUCGGCCUGCUGACCUAACCAGAGUCAUCAUGCCUCUUGAGCAAAGAAGUCAGCACUGCAAGCCUGAGGAAGGCCUUCAGGCCCAAAAAGAAGACCUGGGCUUGGUGGGUGCACAGGCUCUCCAAGCUGAGGAGAAGGAAGCUGCCUUCUUCUCCUCUAUUCUGAAUGUGGGCACUCUAGAGGAGUUGCCUGCUGCUGAGUCACCAAGUCCUCCCCAGAAUCCUCAGGAAGAGUUCUCUCCCACUGCCAUGGGCGCCAUCUUUGGGAGCCUAUAUGAUGAGGGCUCCAGCAGCCAAGAAAAGGAGGGGCCAAGUACCUCGCCUGACCUGAUAGACCCUGAGUCCUUUUCCCAAGAUAUACUACAUGACAAGAUAAUUGAUUUGGUUCAUUUAUUGCUCCGCAAGUAUCGAGUCAAGGGGCUGAUCACAAAGGCAGAAAUGUUGGGGAGUGUCAUCAAAAAUUAUGAGAACUACUUUCCUGAGAUAUUUAGGGAAGCCUCUGCAUGCAUGCAACUGCUCUUUGGCAUUGAUGUGAAGGAAGUGGACCCCACUAGCCACUCCUAUGUCCUUGUCACCUCCCUCAACCUCUCUUAUGAUGGCAUACAGUGUAAUGAGCAGAACAUGCCCAAGUCUGGCCUCCUGAUAAUAGUCCUGGGUGUAAUCUUCAUGGAGGGGAACUGCAUCCGUGAAGAGGUUAUGUGGGAAGUCCUGAGCAUUAUGGGGGUGUAUGCUGGAAGGGAGCACUUCCUCUUUGGGGAGCCCAAGAGGCUCCUCACCCAAGAUUGGGUGCAGGAAAAGUACCUGGUGUACCGGCAGGUGCCCGGCACUGAUCCUGCAUGCUAUGAGUUCCUGUGGGGUCCAAGGGCCCACGCUGAGACCAGCAAGAUGAAAGUUCUUGAGUACAUAGCCAAUGCCAAUGGGAGGGAUCCCACUUCUUACCCAUCCCUGUAUGAAGAUGCUUUGAGAGAGGAGGGAGAGGGAGUCUGAGCGUGAGAUGCAACCAGGGCCAGCGGGCAGGGAAACGGGCCAAUGCAUGCUUCAGGGCCACACCCAGCACUUUCCCUGUCCUGUGUGAAAUCAGGCCCAUUCUUCCCUCUGUGUUUGAUGAGAGAAGUCAGUGUUCUCAGUAGUAGAAGGCACAGUGAAUGGAAGGGAACACAUUGUAUACUGCCUUUAGGUUUCUCUUCCAUCGGGUGACUUGGAGAUUUCUUUUUGUUUCCUUUUGGUAAUUUUCAAAUAUUGUUCCUGUAAUAAAAGUUUUAGUUAGCUUCAACAUCUAAGUGUAUGGAUGAUACUGACCACACAUGUUGUUUUGCUUAUCCAUUUCAAGUGCAAGUGUUUGCCAUUUUGUAAAACAUUAUGGGAAAUCUUCCAUCUUGCUGUGAUUUGCAAUAGGUAUUUUCUUGAAGAAUGUAAGAACUUAGCAAUAAAGUUGAACUGGUGUUGUGAAACAGAGAAAUAAAAGGAGAAGGUCAUU
RNAcentral lists this small RNA (3450 nucleotides) under Pongo abelii (Sumatran orangutan). RNAcentral describes it as "retained intron". Lineage: Eukaryota; Metazoa; Chordata; Mammalia; Primates; Hominidae. The record is from RNAcentral.